This is a non-coding RNA of Morus notabilis, 107 nucleotides long. The record is from Rfam. NCBI's taxonomy places the organism in Eukaryota, Viridiplantae, Streptophyta, Magnoliopsida, Rosales, Moraceae.
AUCCCAUGGUGAGGGCAUUUGCGUAACAAUUCCUUAAACCUCUCCCAUGCCUCAUACAAAGAUUCUCCCUCCUGUUGCUGAAAUCCGGUGAUGUCAUUUCUAAGCUU